CAACCUAGGACUGAUAUUGACCUCUCAUUUAUCCACAAGAGCGUGAAAUGGGAGGAUCCCCCGGAUGACCAAAAUAAGGUUGUGGGGAAUAUGAAGGAUGAAACAGAGACACAUGAGACCAACAAGAACAGGACAGGAGGCAAGGCUAAACGUAAGUCCAGUGGCCGUGCCAAGAAGACUUCCGUGGAGGAGGACAGCAGCAUUGGUGCAGAGUCUUCUCAGACACCCGGGUGUGGUUUCCGGGAAAGGGGAUCUAUCAUUGAGCAGCUGGAGAAGGAGGCUCAGAGGACUCUUAU
Molecule: long non-coding RNA, 296 nt
Organism: Oncorhynchus kisutch (coho salmon)
Lineage: Eukaryota; Metazoa; Chordata; Actinopteri; Salmoniformes; Salmonidae
Exons: 3
Source: RefSeq, a predicted model, not a curated record